GCCAAGGGAAUUUGCGGAGCCUAGAGGGAGGCAGCAGGCUGCUUCUGCGUCAGUUUCACAGCCUGUGCUCAGACAGGUACUUAAGCAUCUCACAUCCAUAAAUCUCAUCUCCUAUCUAGAGUCAGCAAAUAAGAGAAAGGGCAGGCUGCCGCUCUGCUACCAUCUGAUCUUCUUACCAACCUCCCCCUGCCCCCCCCCCCCAAGGCAAGCAUCCCUCUGCCCUCCCUCAUCUGCUCCUGGCCUGUCAGUUUAAUUUAACAAGGUUGCAGGAGAGGUUUGAUUUAAUCAAACCAGUUGCUGUAUCCAUUCUGUGCAGAGGUCCCUCAGUGUCACCACCGAGGCUCAGAUUAGACAGUGACAAUUACUUCUUCUUCUAUUGCCUCCCCUUUUGUUUCUCUCCCUGGAGGGAACAAGGAGGCAGACCAAUCUCCUGGGACCUAAGAAUAGAUGCAGGAGGAUCAAAGGAGGGAAGCAGGCUCUGGCCUGAGAAAGCCCCUCUCUGUGCCUUACAUGGCCUUGUUUAAGGCUGAGCAACAGCCUGAGGGAUGGGAGGAAUAGAAAAUGUGAGCAGAGUGGCUCUGGAAAGGCUCGAGGCUGCCUGAGGACAUAGUGGUGCCAUCAUCUGUGCCAUCAUGAAUGGUCCCUGGAGAUAAAACAAGUCUUCCUUAUUGUCAGGAAACUGAGCGGAUGGUGGGCUGAGGGAGCAGAGUAGCUGUAUGCUCUGCAUACCCCAGACCAUUCAUUUCCAAGUUCUCAGCCUGGAUUCUGAGGUCUCCGGAGCUGGGAGACAACAACAACAAAAAAUUGUGAGACUCCAUCCAUCUGAGUUUCUGUGGCUCUGUUCUUGGCCUGAAAGCAGCAGUGAUAGGAGGAGCAGCCCCCUGAACCAGGGGUGCAAGGGAGGCUGUGUGGAUGUAGGAUAACUGUAGUGUGUGUCUUGGGAAGGAGAGGAACUGUGCUGUGGGGUGUGUGUGUUAUGUAUAUGAAUGUCAGUGGUGGAGAACCAGGCAGGGCAUCUCUGGUGCAGGGGCUUCAGGGUUUAGGGAGUUUAGAAUUCCAGAACAAAUCUUUCUUCUUGCUGUUUCACUCUUUCAUUUCCCUUCUUUUCCAGGAAGCAGAUGCUCAGCAUCUCUUGCUCCUUGAGCAGCUCCCAGAAGAGAGACAAAAGCCUCUUGAAGGGGACCCUCGCUUAGGGUAAUGGGAAUCCUUUUCCCUUUUGCUCAUUUGUGUCACAUUCUUCCAUUGGGCUGGGCAACUGACAGGUGCACCCCUCCCCGGGCCCCUUUCAGAGUGCCCUCCCUGCCAUUUGUCUCUUACCCAGAUAUCCAACAGACACCAUCAUCGGCAGGAGCCGAAUAUGAUUAGCAGAAACCCUUCCUGACAGCUCCAAAGAGAAUCCCACAAAUGCAUAUUCUAUUGAGUGCAUCUCAUUGCUGCUGACAGCCGCUUUAUCAAUUAAAUUCCACAUUCCCAGUCUUCGGAGAUGCCAUGAACCUCCCUACCUAAUAAAUCACAGGCCCCCAGUUAUUGUUAAAUGUCCCAUCAGUCUCUAAUAAACUCCCUGCCAACAGGGGUAGGUUAUUUAUUAUGCUGCCUGGACAAGAAUGAAUGGGGCCCCGUUCUCACAAGGAGAAGAGCAAACGUACCGCCUUCCUCCCUGAAGACUGAGGCUGUGGUAUUAAAUGGGGCAAUUAAUCAACACGGGCCUUGGGCAGCGGGGAGUCUGGCCCACAGUGAGGGAGGAUGGCCUGCGGUUCUUUACCGAAAGCCAGCCAGGCAAAUCUCCACGGCAGGAGGUGGCAGUGCAGGGUGCAGGGGCCCGGACCUUUGCUGCAUCUCCCCCUCUCCUAAUUCCUGUCUGAAAAGGUACCAAAGAUGUAGUCACCCCAUAGGUCAUGAGGCACGUGUAAAAAGUUAUUCUCCAUGUUGGGAAGUAGCCACGUAGGAUUGAGCAGGGUCACGAAACAAUAACUUCUGUCCAGAAGGCCAGAUAUUAUCACUUGAUAAACUUGAUAUAACUUAAGUUUAUUGAUGGUGCUAGUCCACUGAGCAGAUGAACUGAAGAAUACAGAUGGGAAAGAGAACUAGGAAGCAUGUGCUCAGUCCCUGUUCGCUGGAUAAAUAGUACAUGGUAAGCACUGGCCCAUGGAAAGCGGUGCAUCAACACUUAAAGGAGCCAGGAGCUAUGAGUGCAAGAAACAGUGUGUAAGUUGGGCCUUGCUGUUACCUGCCACAAAUUAGAUCCCAAACUUAGAUGAUGCUUCAUGGUCUGCAAGUUAAAACCCGAACUCCUCACCUUUGCCGUUAAUCAAGCCCCAAUCUACAUUUCCAACUGAAUUUCUCUAUUUCUCUUUAUUGCUACCUAACUACCCCCUUUGGGAGAGCAUGACACCUUCACUUUAUAUUCCUUAUGGUGGCAGGCAAGGUCUUCCAUAGUGGGACCAAUAUAUCCCUGCAGCCUCUUUCCUGGUAAUUGCUGCCAUACUUGCCUCCGUUCACAGUAAAGCUCAUACCUUCCCUAAACUACUGCGGUUUCUCAGGCUUCCACGCCUUUGCACAAACUGUUCCUUUUGCCCAGAAUAUCUUUCUAGCUUGUCUGCCUGGGGAGCUCUCCUUCCACCCCCACUGCCUGAUGAAUUCCUUAUCUAUGCUUCAGGAUCAGCUCACAAAAUCAGCCCCUCAGUGCUUCCCUGGACCUGAGGUUUGUCUCCUGAUGCUGCUGUCUUGGCAGAAGUGCUGGACUCCAGGGACUAGCAAAACGCAUCUUCAGGACCCCUCUCCCAUGGGAUUACCAUGCCAGAGAGCCUCCCACAUGUGGAUCUUCACCCUGUACGUGUGCGGCGCGCGAAGGGGGUGAGAGAGAACGACCAGCAUUAUGAUAGAAGGACAAGGUGAAACUUGGGGCUGGAUUCAGAGUCUCUCUAGGUUUGGAAUUGUGAAUAAGAUUAGGUUCCAGACACACUUAAAUUUGGAAUUAUGACUAAGACUUUGUUAUAGGAGCUCAUUUAUUCAAUAAAUAUCGAGCACUUAGUAUUUGUCAGAUUCUGUUUUUCCCCAUUAGGGAUUCAGCAGAGAACAAGACAGAGCAGGUCCCUGCCCUCAUAGAGUGGCAGAGACAGACAAUAAACACAUGAUUUCAGGUAGUGAUAAGCACCUGAAGAAAAAUAAAGCAGAACAAGAGAACAGAGUGGUGGGAGAGGCAGGGAGCGGACAGAUGGG
RNAcentral lists this long non-coding RNA (3219 nucleotides) under Equus caballus (horse). RNAcentral's name for it is "lncRNA (ENSECAG00000052102.1)". Lineage: Eukaryota; Metazoa; Chordata; Mammalia; Perissodactyla; Equidae. The record is from RNAcentral.